GCUGCUCUGUUGCACACCCCUAGCAUUUUGCCCUGGUAUGGUGGGGUCAGAGCAGGCACA
Molecule: microRNA precursor, 60 nt
Filed under: Echinops telfairi (small Madagascar hedgehog)
Lineage: Eukaryota; Metazoa; Chordata; Mammalia; Afrosoricida; Tenrecidae
Description: miRNA (ENSETEG00000024797.1)
Source: RNAcentral